RNAcentral lists this ribosomal RNA (253 nucleotides) under uncultured bacterium. RNAcentral's name for it is "partial 16S ribosomal RNA". It matches the Rfam family "Bacterial small subunit ribosomal RNA", at positions 524 to 776 of the family's 1533-position model. The record is from RNAcentral.
UACGUAGGGGGCAAGCGUUAUCCGGAUUUACUGGGUGUAAAGGGAGCGUAGACGGCGACGCAAGUCUGAAGUGAAAUACCCGGGCUCAACCUGGGAACUGCGUUGGAAACUGUGUUGCUAGAGUGCUGGAGAGGUAAGCGGAAUUCCUAGUGUAGCGGUGAAAUGCGUAGAUAUUAGGAAGAACACCAGUGGCGAAGGCGGUUUACUGGACAGUAACUGACGUUGAGGCUCGAAAGCGUGGGGAGCAAACGGG